This 90-nucleotide non-coding RNA is filed under the name Nitrincola lacisaponensis. RNAcentral's name for it is "TPP sequence". It matches the Rfam family "TPP riboswitch aptamer (THI element)". Rfam says of the family: Vitamin B(1) in its active form thiamin pyrophosphate (TPP) is an essential coenzyme that is synthesised by coupling of pyrimidine and thiazole moieties in bacteria. The previously detected thiamin-regulatory element, thi box was extended, resulting in a new, highly conserved RNA secondary structure, the THI element, which is widely distributed in eubacteria and also occurs in some archaea. The record is from Rfam by way of RNAcentral. Lineage: Bacteria; Pseudomonadati; Pseudomonadota; Gammaproteobacteria; Oceanospirillales; Oceanospirillaceae.
CCAAUCUCAUCGGGGUGCCGUCAGGCUGAGAGUUUACCCGUUGAACCUGAUCCAGUUAAUACUGGCGUAGGAAAUGAGGCGGCUGUCAUU